GGGGGCGAGCGUUAUCCGGAUUUAUUGGGCGUAAAGCGUUCGUAGGCGGUUUGUUAAGUCUGAGAUUUAAGCCCGAGGCUCAACCUCGGUUCGUUUCAGAAACUGGCAGACUUGAGUGUGGUAGAGGCAAGUGGAAUCUCUAGUGUAGCGGUUAAAUGCGUAGAUAUUAGAAGGAACACCAGUGGCGAAGGCGGCUUGCUGGGCCAUUACUGACGCUGAGGAACGAAAGCGUGGGGAGCAAAU
RNAcentral lists this ribosomal RNA (243 nucleotides) under uncultured bacterium. RNAcentral describes it as "partial 16S ribosomal RNA". It matches the Rfam family "Bacterial small subunit ribosomal RNA", at positions 530 to 773 of the family's 1533-position model. The record is from RNAcentral.